AGUGAACGCUGGCGGUAGGCCUAACACAUGCAAGUCGAACGGCAGCACAGUAAGAGCUUGCUCUUACGGGUGGCGAGUGGCGGACGGGUGAGGAAUACAUCGGAAUCUACUUUUUCGUGGGGGAUAACGUAGGGAAACUUACGCUAAUACCUCAUACGACCUACGGGUGAAAGCAGGGGAUCUUCGGACCUUGCGCGAUUGAAUUAGCCGAUGUCGGAUUAGCUAUUUGGCGGGGUAAAGGCCCACCAAGGCGACGAUCCGUAGCUGGUCUGAGAGGAUGAUCAGCCACACUGGAACUGAGACACGGUCCAGACUCCUACGGGAGGCAGCAGUGGGGAAUAUUGGACAAUGGGCGCAAGCCUGAUCCAGCCAUACCGCGUGGGUGAAGAAGGCCUUCGGGUUGUAAAGCCCUUUUGUUGGGAAAGAAAAGCAGCAGGUUAAUACCCCGCUGUUCUGACGGUACCCAAAGAAUAAGCACCGGCUAACUUCGUG
Molecule: ribosomal RNA, 492 nt
Filed under: uncultured bacterium
Lineage: Bacteria
Description: partial 16S ribosomal RNA
Rfam family: Bacterial small subunit ribosomal RNA
Source: RNAcentral